RNA transcript from Fopius arisanus, 1977 nucleotides. It is a transcript of the gene named alkylglycerol monooxygenase, with no coding region annotated. The transcript is spliced from 8 exons. NCBI's taxonomy places the organism in Eukaryota, Metazoa, Arthropoda, Insecta, Hymenoptera, Braconidae. The record is from RefSeq and is a predicted model, not a curated record.
AAUUUUAUGUCGUAAACUCUUCAAACCAAAUAAAAAUCCACUCCAUAAAACUUUCUUGAGAAAUUGACAGGUGCGAUAAUGAUAAUUGUUCAUUGGAGAUUGAUAAAAAUAUCCGCUGUAUGAAUAAUUAGCAUUAGAUUCAUUCGUUGAUUGUGCGUGAACUCACGUGCGCCAAAUGAUUAUGUAAUUGUGUAAUUAAUGCAUGCGAUGCAGUUGAACAGUUAAAAGACAGUGAGUUGUAGGGCAGAUGGUUGUGAUGAAGUUUUUUCAUUCCGAUCUCGUCUCUUUAUAUUGUUUUUUAUUCUCUUUUUGUUGUUUCUUAUCGUAACGCCACCACAGGGAGACUCAGUGGCAGCGUUGGCGCGUAUGUACGCACUUCUUAAUCGACAUUAACGAACUUAGUAUUGAGUAGUCAUGAAUAAUACACGGCAAAAAUCAGUUGGAUACUUUCAACAAUUAAGACAUGCCGGCAAAUUGUGGUAUAUUGUUAAUCCGUAUGAGUCGAGUUUUGAAUUUGUUGAACAAGUGCCUGAUUAUCAGACCGAGGUCUGGCCCUCGUUUUUUGUACUGAUUAUUCUCGAGCAGAUAAUUCUUCUAUCAAAAAAACGGAGUAAUUUUCGAUUAAAUGAUCACAUUACGUCGCUCUCCAACUGGAUUAUACCAGAGUCUGGACGGAUAUUUUUUCGCGGGGCCGAGUACUUUCUAUAUAUCAAGAUUUAUGAGAACUUUCGGAUAGAGAUUUUGCCAUGGAAUUCCUUGUGGACGUGGUAUUUUACAGCUCUAGGGGUGGAUUUUUGCUAUUAUUGGGUUCAUCGAGCUAAUCAUGAAAUUCACUUCUUGUGGGCUCAGCAUCAAGUUCAUCACAGCAGUGAGGAAUUCAAUCUUGUGGUUGGACUGCGGCAAUCUGUCUUGCAACAGUGGUGCAGCUUCAUGUUCUACUUACCCAUGGCUGUCUUCAUACCACCGUCCCACUUCAUAGCCCAUCACCAAUUCAAUCUUAUCUAUCAAUUAUGGAUUCAUACAACUGUAAUCGAUGACCUCGGGCCUCUCGAGCUCGUUUUCAAUACUCCCAAGCAUCAUCGGGUGCAUCAUGGAUGCAAUUUGUAUUGUCUCGACAAAAAUUACGGAGGUGUUCUUAUAAUCUGGGAUCGUCUAUUUGGCACAUUUACUGUGGAAAAAAAGAAGGAUGAAAUAAUCUACGGCCUCGUAGUCAGUCCUCGAACAUUUAAUCCUCUUUAUCUUCAGACAUUCUAUACAAAAUCAAUGUUCGUUAAGAGCUUGAAGAUGAGGAAUCUUGGCAAUAAAUUGGCGGGAAUCUGGAAAGGACCGAGUUGGUUUCCAGGUGCUCCGAGACUUGGCCUUGAUGAGUACAAAGUUAAUGUGACCUCAAGAAUAAAAUAUGAUCGUCAGGUAUCCCUGUGGCUCAGGAUUUAUAUUCUUCUUCAUUUUAUCGUCGUUUUCUACGUGCAUUGUCAGAUUUAUGGUGACAAACAAGACUGCAAUAUAUUCAACCAAAGUACAUUAAUCAUGAAUAAUAUAUUGGCACUGACGAGCAUCGGUUUAUUGUUCGACAAGUACAAAUAUGCAGAGCUUAUUGAGCUCUCAAGGUGCAUCAUUCAGUUGAUCAUCAACAGGGAUGACUUCAAUGAGACCAAAGUACCAUUCAAAGUCUUUGUUAUUGUCUACCUUUUGUCCUGCGGCGUCUGGAUCAUCAGGAUAAUUAGGGACUGUCGAAUGAAGAAAUUGUCUGAGAGAGUUUAGGAUUCGGUGGAAUUAUUUGAGAAUCGGAGGAUUAGGUAUGCACGCAGCUUUCACAUCACGUAUCGUCGAUUUUUCUUUGAUAUAAGGAAAGAUGGAAUGGAGCAGCCGUACAAUCCAAGAAUUCUAAUCCACGUGGCGUGAUUAUUGGGGCUUGAGUAUUGAUUCAGUGAUGUAAUAAUUUCUUAAGCUGUUGAUAAAUUUUGAUUUACAGUGGAA